AUGGCUCACUUCUUCUGGGGUGACCAGGGAGAUGAGCACAAAUAUCAUCUUGCUAAAUGGGGAAUGAUUGCUCAGAAAAAAGAGUUUGGAGGUCUGGGGAUUCCCAACUUAAGAGAGUUCAACAUGGCCUUGCUAGCCUCUUGGGCAAAAAGAUACUUCAUAAACCAUGAUAAUGAUUGGGGGAGACUAAUUGAUUAUAAAUAUAGAACUGAUAAACCCAAUUUACUUUGGGCCAAACAGGGUGUAGGGUCGCCCUUUUGGAAAGGGGUUACCUGGGCUUUUGAGGGUAUUAGACCUUUUUUCAGAUGGAACUUGGGAAAAGGGGACAAAAUCAGUUUCUGGGACGACACUUGGGCUGGGGAUUCUUCCCUGAAAACUCAAUUUUGGGAGGUAUAUGAAAUUUGUCAGCAACAGAAAUGUGUAGUAGCUGAGGUGUGGGAUGGUACUAAUUUGAAACUCACGUUCAGUAGAUGUGUGGAUUCUGGCUUUAUGAGUAAAUGGCAUGACCUGAUUCAGGUAAUCUCUACUAAGACCUUAACUGAUGAGGAGGACCAGCCUGUCUGGCUUUUGGAACCAUCUGGGAAUUAUUCUGUUAAAUCCUUCUACAACAUGAUAAACUGGGGAGGGGUGUCUACCCCAAUUUGGAAAAACUUCUGGAAAAUUGUUGUUCCCAACAGAUACUUGGUCUUUUUGUGGUUAACAAAUAAUAACAAAAUUCUUACCAGAGACAAUUUAAGCAAAAGAAGGGUGGUUGAUAACUUGUGUUGUUUGUUUUGUAAUGAGAAUGAAACUGUUCAGCAUUUAUUCUUUGAUUGUGUAGUGUCUAAGCAAAUUUGGCUUGAUGUAGCUGAUACUUUUAGUAUUAAUAUCCCAAAAGAUAUGGCUGAACUAUCUUCCUUUUGGAAACUGAACAGCAAAACAUCUGUGAUUAAAAUUGCUUGUGUUGCCUCCAUCUGGGGGAUUUGGACUAUGCGUAACGACAUGUGUUUUCAGGGGAUAUCAUGGACAAGUACCCGGGCGGUGUUGGGACGGAUCAGCUCAUCUCUACACCAAUGGAAGAUCCUAUGCAAAGGCGACCAAUCGGUGCUGCUCCAACGCUGCCUCCUACUCCUGGACCGACGAAGAGGCGAGCUACUCAGGAUCGCCUGGGCUGGGGGCUGA
This 1161-nucleotide ribosomal RNA is filed under the name Triticum aestivum (bread wheat). RNAcentral's name for it is "partial small subunit ribosomal RNA". Lineage: Eukaryota; Viridiplantae; Streptophyta; Magnoliopsida; Poales; Poaceae. The record is from RNAcentral.